CGCGUAGGCGGCCGUCCAAGUCCGAGGUGAAAGCCCCCGGCUCAACCGGGGAAGGGCCUUGGAUACUGGUCGGCUGGGGGGAGGUAGGGGCGGGCGGAACUUCCGGUGGAGCGGUGAAAUGCGUUGAUAUCGGAAGGAACGCCGGUGGCGAAAGCGGCCCGCUGGACCUCUGCCGACGCUGAGGCGCGAAGGCCAGGGGAGCGAACG
This 207-nucleotide ribosomal RNA is filed under the name uncultured bacterium. RNAcentral's name for it is "partial 16S ribosomal RNA". It matches the Rfam family "Bacterial small subunit ribosomal RNA", at positions 568 to 774 of the family's 1533-position model. The record is from RNAcentral.